Trichonephila clavata is the source of this 74-nucleotide non-coding RNA. NCBI's taxonomy places the organism in Eukaryota, Metazoa, Arthropoda, Arachnida, Araneae, Nephilidae. The record is from the annotation of a GenBank genome assembly.
GCCCCACUCAGUAUGGUGGUUAUGACACUCGACUUGUAAUCGAGUGGGCUCGUGUUCGAAUCCCGAAUAGGGCG